Molecule: non-coding RNA, 768 nt
Organism: Neurospora crassa OR74A
Lineage: Eukaryota; Fungi; Ascomycota; Sordariomycetes; Sordariales; Sordariaceae
Source: RefSeq, a predicted model, not a curated record
ACACUCGACCACUUUAACCUGCAGCACAUCACUUUGCUGUUACCACCUCGCAUCGAGAUAUCAACCACCAUCGAACCUUGCGACCACCACUUCUUGGGAAAUCCGGAUCGCCAUCCACGGUUUCGGUCACGGUUACCCAGAAGCGAGACGGAGAUCAAAGACAUCUCACAACGUCAACUGAACUCAAGACCACAAGACAGCUGGAAGCUCCAUCUUCUUCAAAAAACCCCUCCCAAGCGAAAUCCCCCUUGUCAGCACUUGUGGGCCAAAUUUCUGUCUUUAAAGUCCUGAGCUUCACCGUCCACUCACUCCUCUACCGGCGACGCAAGAAGCCUUGAAAAGAGCUGGAAUAAUCUCAAUUCCACCUUUUGCUCAUCGCCUGUGGCUGCCCCGCUAGGUACCUAGGCCACUGGUACAAAUAUACCUACCAUUUUCAGCACCUUGCUUGCAGUCUCUCAGCGCACUUUGUCUUUCUUCAUGAUCAGAGAACUGUGACACUCUGCCCAAUAUACCAAGUCGAAUUACCUCCAACCAUCCAAGGAAGCCAUCAUCACCACCAUUAAUUAUUCUUCUUCUCCCUCCCGGAAGCUUCAUCAACAGCCCGAUCUGCUUCUAUCCUUCACGGCCUUGGCUGCGGUUUCUCUUCUUCGCUUUGAUUCAACAGCUCACGCCAUACCCACCACAGCAAUUUAUCCACACGAACUCGGCACGGCGGCAGAAACCAGAUCUCUUGUCGCUCGGCCACCUGACGACGACUUUAUAUCCGAU